ACACACAGUCACCCCCAUUACGUACAAAUCUUUUGCCUUUUACUAAAGAUUUCCUUGGAGAGGGGCAUCAACAAGCCCACAAUAUUUUUGGUGGCUCUGUUUUGACAGACCU
This is a small nuclear RNA of 112 nucleotides. Its record names the gene U5. It matches the Rfam family "U5 spliceosomal RNA". Rfam says of the family: U5 RNA is a component of both types of known spliceosome. The precise function of this molecule is unknown, though it is known that the 5' loop is required for splice site selection and p220 binding, and that both the 3' stem-loop and the Sm site are important for Sm protein binding and cap methylation. The record is from Ensembl.